AUAUUGUCUAGAUGACAAUAUUUGUAUUUAAACUCACAGUUUAUAUGUUUUAUUAAUAAAGUUGUAGUUGUUUCUGUACCAUGUUAUUGGCGACUCAAAAUAGGUGUUGUAUACCUAUUUUGGGGGCGUCAUAGUCAUAAUCAUACCAAAAACUAUCCAUAAAUGCAUUACAGGCCACUGAGGACUUUUAUCACAUUAUUUAUAACAUUACAGGUCAUGAUUACACCGAAUGAUCCCUGGUCAUAAUCAUACUAAGUCCAUCUAUGCACGUAAGCCAAAGAUGACUUUCAACACAAUAUAAACA
RNAcentral lists this long non-coding RNA (304 nucleotides) under Panax ginseng (ginseng). RNAcentral's name for it is "long non-coding RNA (PGIN_LNC007879)". Lineage: Eukaryota; Viridiplantae; Streptophyta; Magnoliopsida; Apiales; Araliaceae. The record is from RNAcentral.